AUUGAACGCUGGCGGCAGGCCUAACACAUGCAAGUCGAACGGUAACAGGAAGCAGCUUGCUGCUUCGCUGACGAGUGGCGGACGGGUGAGUAAUGUCUGGGAAACUGCCUGAUGGAGGGGGAUAACUACUGGAAACGGUAGCUAAUACCGCAUAACGUCGCAAGACCAAAGAGGGGGACCUUAGGGCCUCUUGCCAUCGGAUGUGCCCAGAUGGGAUUAGCUAGUAGGUGGGGUAACGGCUCACCUAGGCGACGAUCCCUAGCUGGUCUGAGAGGAUGACCAGCCACACUGGAACUGGGACACGGUCCAGACUCCUACGGGAGGCAGCAGUGGGGAAUAUUGCACAAUGGGCGCAAGCCUGAUGCAGCCAUGCCGCGUGUAUGAAGAAGGCCUUCGGGUUGUAAAGUACUUUCAGCGGGGAGGAAGGGAGUAAAGUUAAUACCUUGGCUCAUUGACGUUACCCGCAGAAGAAGCACCGGCUAACUCCGUG
RNAcentral lists this ribosomal RNA (490 nucleotides) under uncultured bacterium. RNAcentral describes it as "partial 16S ribosomal RNA". It matches the Rfam family "Bacterial small subunit ribosomal RNA", at positions 30 to 507 of the family's 1533-position model. The record is from RNAcentral.